Thalassophryne amazonica is the source of this 924-nucleotide long non-coding RNA. RefSeq lists it as uncharacterized. NCBI's taxonomy places the organism in Eukaryota, Metazoa, Chordata, Actinopteri, Batrachoidiformes, Batrachoididae. The transcript has 2 exons. The record is from RefSeq and is a predicted model, not a curated record.
AAAAUUUCAUGAAGUAUCCUUAUCAUAUAAAAAUUUGACAGUUAUGAAAAUAAGAACCAUGUUUACAUUUUCUGGUGUUACAGACUCUACAUAGCAGAAACAACUGACCAUGCAUAUUUAGAAAAAAAUAGGUAUACAUUAUCAUAAUUUAAGAUACCCUCUUACACAGCAAGGUAUUGCUUAGACAAAUACUAUGAUUUGAAAAAAUAUUUCUAAAUAUAAUUAAUUCCAUUCCUUUACAGACAAUACAGGCUGUCUAUGACUACCGUUUACUGUCAUUUUUAAAAUUAUUGUACUAACUUAAGGCGUCAAUGUAAAUUUUAUUCUAAGCAGAAACAUACUCAGAAUACAAGAAUAUACGUUACUUUUAAUUCUGAAAUUAACCCAGGUUAUGUCCACAUUAUGAAACUGCUACAAACAUAAAUCAGCAGACACAACACAACAGAUAUUUGAUGGCUCGUUCCCAGCACACAAAUUCUCAGACAGUUCAGAUGACCACGCUGUACCUCAUUUUUCAAAGUAAAUCAAAGUAUUUAUAUCGUCAAUUCCUAUCUUCAGUUGUGUGCAUAUUAAUAAUGCAAAAUAAAUAAAUAAAAAUAAAAACAACAUAAUUUUUACUUUAAUUUACAUUCUGUUUAAAGAAAAAUUUAUUCUUUCAAGGUAAUAAUUUAAUGCAUGGACCAAGUAGGCAGAUGUUCGUGUUAUAACUAAGAAAAACACAGGUACGAAUGAAAAACUCAUCACAACAGAACUGUAAUAACUUCUUAUACAUCAAUGGCAUUUGAUUGUGGCUGAGCUGUCAGCUUUGCAAGUAUUUCAACAGCAACAUAAUGUACAUAUUUUGCCUGUGUACACCGCCACAAUAGAGUUACAAUGAAAACAUCAAGAUGUGAUGGUAAUGAAGAUUGUUAGCUUUAAUUUGAA